AAUUUUGGACAAUGGGGGAAACCCUGAUCCAGCCAUCCCGCGUGUAUGAUGAAGGCCUUCGGGUUGUAAACUCCUUUUGUCGGGGAAGAGGAAGGACGGUACCCGACGAAGAAGCCCCGGCUCACUACGUGCCAGCAGCCGCGGUAAUACGUAGGGGGCGAGCGUUGUCCGGAUUUACUGGGCGUAAAGUGCGCGUAGGCGGUCGUGCACGUCGGUUGUGAAAUCUGGUGGCUCAACCAUCGGGGGUCAGCUGAUACGGUGCGACUGGAGGACGGUAGAGGCAGGUGGAAUUCCCGGUGUAGUGGUGAAAUGCGUAGAGAUCGGGAGGAACACCAGUGGCGAAGGCGGCCUGCUGGGCCGGUCCUGACGCUGAGGCGCGAAAGCGUGGGGAGCGAACUGG
Molecule: ribosomal RNA, 400 nt
Filed under: uncultured bacterium
Lineage: Bacteria
Description: partial 16S ribosomal RNA
Rfam family: Bacterial small subunit ribosomal RNA
Source: RNAcentral